This 253-nucleotide ribosomal RNA is filed under the name uncultured bacterium. Its description in RNAcentral is "partial 16S ribosomal RNA". It matches the Rfam family "Bacterial small subunit ribosomal RNA", at positions 524 to 776 of the family's 1533-position model. The record is from RNAcentral.
UACGGGGGGGGCAAGCGUUGUUCGGAAUUACUGGGCGUAAAGGGCUCGUAGGCGGCCAACUAAGUCGGACGUGAAAUCCCCAGGCUCAACCUGGGAACUGCGUCCGAUACUGGAUGGCUUGAAUCCGGGAGAGGGAUGCAGAAUUCCAGGUGUAGCGGUGAAAUGCGUAGAUAUCUGGAGGAAUACCGGUGGCGAGGGCGGCAUCCUGGACCGGCAUUGACGCUGAGGAGCGAAAGCCAGGGGAGCAAACGGG